CGAACUCUCUGGGCCCCUGCGAUGUAGGUUGCCUAAAGCCACCGAGCCCUCCUCGCUAGCUUGAGGAGCAUCCACACUCUCUCCCCAGGCAGCUGUCUUGGGAGUGAUGCUGGAGUUUGGAUCAUAUUCCAUGCGCCCGUGGCUCCAAAUGCCCAUCAUUCCUCAGUACUGGGCAAAGGUUGUUCAGCCUCAGGUGAAGUGAGACAAAGAAGGACGUCAAGAGGUUUUGCUGGGUUUGAUGGGUUUCAUCUGGGACGGGUUACAAUGCAUUUUGUGUAAUCAUCUCUUUUCAUUAAGUGGCAGGCAUUGUAGAUACAGUUCAGUCAUUCUUUUUUAUGGCAUGUUUAGUUGGC
Molecule: long non-coding RNA, 353 nt
Filed under: Homo sapiens (human)
Lineage: Eukaryota; Metazoa; Chordata; Mammalia; Primates; Hominidae
Description: HSALNT0196472
Source: RNAcentral